Molecule: small RNA, 929 nt
Filed under: Histoplasma ohiense
Lineage: Eukaryota; Fungi; Ascomycota; Eurotiomycetes; Onygenales; Ajellomycetaceae
Description: hypothetical lncRNA
Source: RNAcentral
GACCAUCACAGACACCUUAAUUACCAGAACCAGACCUAAUCUCGGUGUUCGCCCUACACUUCUGUUACCACUGCCGGCCCCUCUCCCCCUUCUUCGAAAAAUUCCAGCUUUUUCUCCUUCUCCUAUCCCGCCCAUAUUCGCUUUCGCGAUCAUGUCCACCCUCCCUUCUCAAUCCUUUGACCUCCCAAAUAACCUUCCGAAAUCCCUCCUCAAGCGCCUUCAUCCGCGCCAACACCAAUUUACUCAACAUAACCUGAUUCUCAAUGCUUGUUGGAGCAGGCCGUCGUAACCGCUAGUCGCAUUUGCCGCUUCAGUCGCAAAGCUGGACGGGAUCGCCCCGAUGUAACCACCAUCGACGGCUUUGUUGUCGCCAAUAUCGGAGCCCAGUUCCAUGGCUAGAGUGGAAGAAGCAUUUUGGUCAUGGUGUUGAGGGUGGAGAUAACUGUGGUUGGUAUCUUGUAGACUUCCUGCGUAGGCGGGAGACGCCAGACAGGUAUCUUCUGGGAAGGACCUGAAUUUUGCCUUGGCUCGAGGGAUGGGCGACGCAAGGUGGGGUGUUGACUUUUAGGUGGGUGUUUAUUAUCAUGGCCGUUAUUGUGGCGGACGUAAAGCUUGCGAAAACAGAAUUUUCUGCCACCCCCUGAAAAAUAAUAGCAAAACACCGCAAAAAUAACCAAAAUAUCCAUGUAUCUCUAGAAUCAUUCAAAUAUCAUCCAAUUCAUCCAAAUACACACCUUUAUCAUCAAAUACACACCUUUAUCAUCAAAUAUGUCAAUAUGCCCCGCAACACCCACUGUUCUACUGCCUCACAAGCUCAUAAAGGGACUCCAACUAUCCUUCACCUUCAUCUGCCCAAACCACCUGUUCUGGAUGUUCUGGAUAAUGACAAGAAUCCAACUGAUGAUGAGAAGGAGGAUAAGAAGAAGAAG